GUGGUGGAACCUUCAGCUGAUGCUGCCGUAUUAGGUGUUGAGAGUCAGGCUGGUCUCGUCGAGAUGGAUACCGACAUGGAAGUAAAUGUUCUGAGUACCUAGGUAGAGGCUUCGGUCCAGCCCCGUGGGAGCCAGGUUGCUGUAGCUGUACCCGGGAGGAGGAGCAAAAGGUUAAGGACAUUUUCUACUAAGUUGGAUGGUUGGUUCCAGUACGACAAGAAGACUAAAGUGUUAGUUGGACACCCUUCUCCGGUCGUUAAGUAUCCUAACCAUAUCGAUGACCCUGAGGAACGGUUCUAGAAUUCUAUUAAGAAGUUGAAGUCCUCCAGAUCAAUCAGUAUUGGUGGUGAGGCUUCUCUUUCUGUCAAAGAUGUUCUUGAUAUAAUAGAGAGAAAAAAACAUCUCUCAUCCAAGGUCAUGGAUGCUUUGAUCAAGUUUAGCCGGCACUUAUUACAGACUGAGGACCUUAAUGGUGAAAAACUGCGUGUUGACUUAUUAGAUUCGAAGUUUGUAUCUUUGUUGUUUUGACAAUUCCCGAAGUUUUCCAAAUCCACUGCUCACGCUAAAUUCAAAUUUCCUGGCGACAUUGUUGCCCAACUAGUAGGUAGUGGAGAAAGUGGACUUGCUGAGCUUUUUACCGAAGAAGCUGACUUCCUGUAUGCGCCAUUUAAUUUUGAUAGGAAGCAUUGGGUGUCUUUGUGCAUCGAUCUCUGCAGCACGAGUAUCGUUGUUCUUGACUCCAAUACCCAACUUCCGAAAGAUCAUGAUAUAUUUGGUGAAAUACAACCCUUUGCGCCAAUGCUGCCAUAUCUUCUCAUCCAGGCUGGGGUUUAUUAUGGGAAAAGGAAGAGGUCAACCACCCCUUUCAGCAUCACAAGGCCAUCUAGCAUACCCCAAGUCAAGUGCCUUGCAGACUCUGGCAUUAUGUCAAUUUUUCUGAUACACGCACAUGCAACCGGUGGGUUAGAAGAGUGUGGUGAGUUGACCGUCGAGCAAUUGGAUCCAGAGCUGAAGAAAUUUGUAUAUGCUAUAAUUCUUGCCAGUGUCGAGUAGGUAGGUCAUUGGUUGUUUUGCACAAUUCUCCUGGCAACUUAGUUCUUGUCCUUUAAUGUCUUUCUUAUGGUUGUUUAUAAGUGUUCUUCUUAGAUCACUUUCGCUGUUCCGGUUUGUUUUGGUCUGCCCCUCGUGAACAAUUUAUUGUAUUACCUGUGACAAACACUUGCUACUCAAAACG
This is a long non-coding RNA of Capsella rubella, 1234 nucleotides long. RefSeq lists it as uncharacterized. The transcript has 5 exons. NCBI's taxonomy places the organism in Eukaryota, Viridiplantae, Streptophyta, Magnoliopsida, Brassicales, Brassicaceae. The record is from RefSeq and is a predicted model, not a curated record.